GCGAUGGCGGAGGGGUUCCACGCGUACCCAUCCCGAACACGACCGUUAAGCCCUCCAGCGCCGAUGGUACUUGGACCGAAGGGUCCUGGGAGAGUAGGAUGCUGCCAAGC
RNAcentral lists this ribosomal RNA (110 nucleotides) under Paenibacillus dendrobii. The record is from RNAcentral. Lineage: Bacteria; Bacillati; Bacillota; Bacilli; Caryophanales; Paenibacillaceae.